Long non-coding RNA from Numida meleagris (helmeted guineafowl), 783 nucleotides. RefSeq lists it as uncharacterized. The record is from RefSeq and is a predicted model, not a curated record. The transcript is spliced from 3 exons. NCBI's taxonomy places the organism in Eukaryota, Metazoa, Chordata, Aves, Galliformes, Numididae.
CGCGGGGCAUGCCGGGAGGAGCCGCUCGCCGCCCUCGGGCAGCCGCCAUGUUGGGGGGGUGUCGCGGCCCGGGAUCGCAUAGGAGCGGGAAUGUGGUGCCAACGAAGUCCUGCACCUAUGAAAGUUCCUUUCGCAAUUUUACGUCAGAGAAUAUACCCUGGAGUACAGCUGCAUUAUGAUACACUCCCUGGAUGUGCAGAGUUAUCACAAGAGGAAUUACCAGAGAAACAAUUACUUAGAUGGGCACAGUAGCAAAUGCAAGCAGGCUCCUACUGAAAUUGAUGAGCAGAACUGGACGUCAUGAUUCUGGAAAGUAGGAAAGAGUUAAUUUGGCAGUUGGUGGAUCCUGAGCUGGAAAGAGGACACGUUGGUUCCAGGAGAGGAAAGCAGGCUGCCUGGUGUCCUGUCUCCUGCACUCUGGAUGAGGAACAGCAAAGGUGGCACCUUCUCUGAGUGCAUUGCAAGUUGCACAGCUGGGAGAGGCUGGAGUGCAGGAUGGGAUGGGCAAGGGAGAGAUGGCAGCAGGCGCUCCGUGGCAGGAGGGAGAUGGGAAGACUCCUGUGUAAGCACAGGGACAGCUUUCCUCCAAGGUGAGGAAGAGGAGACUUUGAAGAACACAGAAAGAAACUGGAUGGAAGUGAAAAUGGAAAGCCCUUCUAUAUGCUCCCUUCAAAAAGCAGAUGCAGCAUUUACAUGUAAGGCGCUGAGUGAUCUGAGUUCCUUUGCACUGAGCCGUAGUUAUUUUGAGCAUACCCAGGUGGUGUAAGUACUGACUACAAGAAA